RNAcentral lists this long non-coding RNA (299 nucleotides) under Lotus japonicus. Its description in RNAcentral is "long non-coding RNA (LJAP_LNC001836)". Lineage: Eukaryota; Viridiplantae; Streptophyta; Magnoliopsida; Fabales; Fabaceae. The record is from RNAcentral.
ACAUAAUAUGUCCACGAUAAAUGCUCCAUUCGGGAGUGAACUAUUCCAAUAUAUAAUCUGUUCCACCAAGUAUUAUAGCCAACUAAAAUAUAGAGAGACUAUUCUGGUACACAUAACUAACUAAAAUAUAGAGAGACUAUUCUGGUACACCACCAUUAUCAUCAUCAUAAAACAUGUAUAACCCAGAAAAAAGUUUCGAAUGUAGCAUUGCUCCUCACAGUGCUUUCCUCCUCAACGAAUGAUUAGUAUGAGCAUUAUUGUGUCAACUCAAGCACAAUAAUGCACUUUUGUAAGAAACU